UACGGGGGGUGCAAGCGUUGUUCGGAAUUACUGGGCGUAAAGGGCGCGUAGGCGGCCAUCUAAGUCAGACGUGAAAUCCCUCGGCUCAACCGAGGAACUGCGUCUGAUACUGGAAGGCUUGAAUCCGGGAGAGGGAUGUGGAAUUCCAGGUGUAGCGGUGAAAUGCGUAGAUAUCUGGAGGAACACCGGUGGCGAAGGCGGCAUCCUGGACCGGUAUUGACGCUGAGGCGCGAAAGCUAGGGGAGCAAGCGGG
Molecule: ribosomal RNA, 253 nt
Filed under: uncultured bacterium
Lineage: Bacteria
Description: partial 16S ribosomal RNA
Rfam family: Bacterial small subunit ribosomal RNA
Source: RNAcentral